GACGAACGCUGGCGGCGUGCUUAACACAUGCAAGUCGAACGGAAAGGCCCUGCGUUUGUGGGGUGCUCGAGUGGCGAACGGGUGAGUAACACGUGAGUAACCUGCCCUUGACUGUGGGAUAACUUCAGGAAACUGGGGCUAAUACCGGAUAGGAGCUCCGGCUGCAUGGUGGGGGUUGGAAAGUUUCGGCGGUUGGGGAUGGACUCGCGGCUUAUCAGCGUGUUGGUGGGGUAGUGGCUUACCAAGGCUUUGACGGGUAGCCGGCCUGAGAGGGUGACCGGCCCCAUUGGGACUGAGAUACGGCCCAGACUCCUACGGGAGGCAGCAGUGGGGAAUAUUGCACAAUGGGCGGAAGCCUGAUGCAGCAACGCCGCGUGCGGGAUGACGGCCUUCGGGUUGUAACCCGCUUUCGCCUGUGACGAAGCGUGAGUGACGGUAAUGGGUAAAGAAGCACCGGCUAACUACGUG
Molecule: ribosomal RNA, 468 nt
Filed under: uncultured bacterium
Lineage: Bacteria
Description: partial 16S ribosomal RNA
Rfam family: Bacterial small subunit ribosomal RNA
Source: RNAcentral